UGAGGAAUAUUGGUCAAUGGGCGAGAGCCUGAACCAGCCAAGUAGCGUGCAGGAUGACGGCCCUAUGGGUUGUAAACUGCUUUUAUAUGGGAAUAAAGUGAGGGACGUGUCCCUUAUUGCAUGUACCAUACGAAUAAGGACCGGCUAAUUCCGUGCCAGCAGCCGCGGUAAUACGGAAGGUCCAGGCGUUAUCCGGAUUUAUUGGGUUUAAAGGGGGCGUAGGCUGUUUGUUAAGCGUGUUGUGAAAUGUAGGAGCUCAACUUUUAGAUUGCAGCGCGAACUGGCAGACUUGAGUGCGCACAACGUAGGCGGAAUUCAUGGUGUAGCGGUGAAAUGCUUAGUUAUCAUGACGAACUCCGAUUGCGAAGGCAGCUUACGGGAGCGCAACUGACGCUAAAGCUCGAAGGUGCGGGUAUCGAACAGG
This 424-nucleotide ribosomal RNA is filed under the name Verrucomicrobiota bacterium. Its description in RNAcentral is "Verrucomicrobia bacterium partial 16S ribosomal RNA". It matches the Rfam family "Bacterial small subunit ribosomal RNA", at positions 355 to 776 of the family's 1533-position model. Lineage: Bacteria; Pseudomonadati; Verrucomicrobiota. The record is from RNAcentral.